UACAGAGGGUGCGAGCGUUGUCCGGAAUCACUGGGCGUAAAGGGCGCGUAGGCGGCCUGAUAAGUCGGGGGUGAAAUCCUGUGGCUUAACUGCAGGGCUGCCUCCUAGACUGUUAGGCUCGAGCACGGUAGAGGCAGAUGGAAUUCCCGGUGUAGCGGUGGAAUGCGUAGAGAUCGGGAAGAACAUCGGUGGCGAAGGCGGUCUGCUGGGCCGUUGCUGACGCUGAGGCGCGACAGCGUGGGGAGCGAACAGG
Molecule: ribosomal RNA, 253 nt
Filed under: uncultured bacterium
Lineage: Bacteria
Description: partial 16S ribosomal RNA
Rfam family: Bacterial small subunit ribosomal RNA
Source: RNAcentral